This is a long non-coding RNA of Cucumis sativus (cucumber), 751 nucleotides long. RefSeq lists it as uncharacterized. The record is from RefSeq and is a predicted model, not a curated record. The transcript has 2 exons. Lineage: Eukaryota; Viridiplantae; Streptophyta; Magnoliopsida; Cucurbitales; Cucurbitaceae.
UGGAUUAAAAAAGAAUAUAUAUAUAUACCAUCAAAUCAAAAACUCAAAAAAGAUACUCAAAGUUAGAAUCUUGUCUUCAUUCUCGUCGCCAUUGUUGCUCUAAACUAAAAGCUUAGCUUUCUUGUUCAUACAGUACUAUAUUCCAAAUGAAGCUCCCUCCAAUGGCGGUUCUUCUUCUUUUCCUUAUGAUCAUGCUUCAAGCUCAAGGGAUUCGGUUGUUGGAGAAAGGGAUGAGCAAAGAGUACAAGAAAAGUGGAGGUUUUUUGGUAAAUAAAAAUGGUGGAGAUUCAUUGAUGACAAUGAAGAAGAGAGCCCCAAUUAGGGCUUUAAGAAAACCAUAUUCACAUUGGCUUCCAGGCAUUCAAGAAGAUUAUCAUGGACCAAGAAGCCAUAAAUCUAGGCACCAUUGACUCUCUCUUUUUUUUUUUUUUUUUUUUUUUUUUUUUUUUUAUGAGAUUAAUUAUUAUUAUUUGAGGCGUACAUAUAGAAUCCAAACGUUGGAUCGUCAUUAUAUUCUUUAGUAAAAUUAGUUAACAAAGAUGGAGCAGAUUGAAGAAAUCAUUCGAAGAGCUAGAAACGCAAUGUGGUUGUCAACUUUUUAUAUGUACGAUAGAGAAAUUAACCAUGUUUGUAGUAGCUACGUUGUGUAGUUUUAGCUUUUAACUAGAUCAGUUGAGACUGAUUAUAAAUUUUGAGAAUAAAAUUCUUUAUUAAAUAAGAUUCAAGAAAAUGUUGAAUCUUCAUUUAUUUA